GAUGAACGCUGGCGGCGUGCCUAAUACAUGCAAGUCGAGCGAACAGACGAGGAGCUUGCUCCUCUGACGUUAGCGGCGGACGGGUGAGUAACACGUGGAUAACCUACCUAUAAGACUGGGAUAACUUCGGGAAACCGGAGCUAAUACCGGAUAAUAUAUUGAACCGCAUGGUUCAAUAGUGAAAGACGGUUUUGCUGUCACUUAUAGAUGGAUCCGCGCCGCAUUAGCUAGUUGGUAAGGUAACGGCUUACCAAGGCAACGAUGCGUAGCCGACCUGAGAGGGUGACGGGCCACCCGGAAGCUGAGACCCGGCCCACACCCCUAGGGGAGGCACCGGUGGGGACUCUCCCGCAAGGGGCGAAAGCCUGAGGGGGAAACGCCGCGUGAGUAAUAAAGGUCUGCGGUUCGAAAAACUUUUUUUUUGGGGAAAAAAAAAUGGUAAGGUAACUAUGCCCGUUUGGAGGUUCCCUAACAAGAAGCCCCGGCCUACCUCGUU
Molecule: ribosomal RNA, 496 nt
Filed under: uncultured bacterium
Lineage: Bacteria
Description: partial 16S ribosomal RNA
Rfam family: Bacterial small subunit ribosomal RNA
Source: RNAcentral